UACGUAGGUGGCGAGCGUUUGUCCGGAUUUAUUGGGUUUAAAGGGUGCGUAGGCGGUUUUGUAAGUCAGUGGUGAAAUACUCCAGCUUAACUGGAGGGGUGCCAAUGAUACUGCAGAACUUGAGUACAGAUGAGGUAGGCGGAAUUGACGGUGUAGCGGUGAAAUGCAUAGAUAUCGUCAAGAACACCGAUAGCGAAGGCAGCUUACUGGGCUGUAACUGACGCUGAGGCACGAAAGUGUGGGGAUCAAACAGG
RNAcentral lists this ribosomal RNA (254 nucleotides) under uncultured bacterium. RNAcentral's name for it is "partial 16S ribosomal RNA". It matches the Rfam family "Bacterial small subunit ribosomal RNA", at positions 524 to 776 of the family's 1533-position model. The record is from RNAcentral.